RNAcentral lists this unclassified non-coding RNA (331 nucleotides) under soil metagenome. RNAcentral's name for it is "partial contains 5.8S ribosomal RNA, internal transcribed spacer 2, and large subunit ribosomal RNA". The stretch from base 1 to 120 matches the Rfam family "5.8S ribosomal RNA", at positions 35 to 154 of the family's 154-position model. The record is from RNAcentral.
GAUGAAGAACGUAGCGAAAUGCGAUAAGUAGUGUGAAUUGCAGAAUUCAGUGAAUCAUCGAAUCUUUGAACGCACAUUGCGCCCCUCGGUAUUCCGUGGGGCAUGCCUGUUCGAGCGUCAUUUACCCCUCAAGCACUGCUUGGUGUUGGGCGUCUGUCCCGCUUCGCGCGCGGACUCGCCCCAAAGGUAUUGGGCGGUCGUGCCGGCUUCUCGCGCAGCACAUUGCGCUUCUCGAGGCGGUCGAUCGGCGUCCACGAAGCUCACCUCCACCGUUUGACCUCGGAUCAGGUAGGGAUACCCGCUGAACUUAAGCAUAUCAAUAAGCGGAGGA